GACGAACGCUGGCGGCGUGCUUAACACAUGCAAGUCGAGCGGAAAGGCCACUUCGGUGGUACUCGAGCGGCGAACGGGUGAGUAACACGUGAGUAAUCUGCCCUUCACUCUGGGAUAGCCACCGGAAACGGUGAUUAAUACCGGAUACGACCACUCCACGCAUGUGGUGGUGGUGGAAAUUUUUUGGGUGGGGGAUGUGCUCGCGGCCUAUCAGCUUGUUGGUGGGGUAAUGGCCUACCAAGGCUUCGACGGGUAGCCGGCCUGAGAGGGUGACCGGCCACACUGGGACUGACACACGGCCCAGACUCCUACGGGAUGCAGCAGUGGGGAAUAUUGGACAAUGGGCGGAAGCCUGAUCCAGCAACGCCGCGUGAGGGAUGACGGCCUUCGGGUUGUAAACCUCUUUCAGCACCGACGAAGCGCAAGUGACGGUGGGUGCAGAAGAAGGACCGGCCAACUACGUGCCAGCCGCCGCAGUAA
RNAcentral lists this ribosomal RNA (480 nucleotides) under uncultured bacterium. RNAcentral describes it as "partial 16S ribosomal RNA". It matches the Rfam family "Bacterial small subunit ribosomal RNA", at positions 28 to 523 of the family's 1533-position model. The record is from RNAcentral.